Non-coding RNA from Pelobates cultripes (western spadefoot toad), 999 nucleotides. The record is from the annotation of a GenBank genome assembly. Lineage: Eukaryota; Metazoa; Chordata; Amphibia; Anura; Pelobatidae.
CAAUGUUAUUAACAAAGCGUUACAAAGUAAUUGUAAUAAAAUAUGACCGACUGGACCAUGCACUUUGGCUGAACCCAGAUUACUAUGUAACAAACUCUAGCAGAUGUGAUCCCGGUGGGCCGAGCCUCGGAUAUUCAGACCUUACACUUUACAUCUUUGGCUAAAAAAUACAUGAAUAUCAGUUUUGAAGCAGAGAAACAACUGUGUUGUUGAUACACUGAAAUAAAAUUUGUAGAGAAUUCCAAACUGAAUUACAAAAUGUAAAGGGACACUGUAGGCACUAUAACCAUAUUAUCUAAUUGAUGUGCUUAUAGUACCUGGGGUCCCUUGGUACUUGGUACAGAGAUAUUCACUAAUGAGAACUGACAGUAAUGCAAAGUGAAUUCAAAUAUAUAACCAUGGCUCCAAUACAUCACCCCAAUCAUAGUGUUAAUAUAUAACCAUGGCUCCAAUACAUCACCCAAACUAGUCCUAAUAUAUAACCAUGGCUCCAAUACAUCACCCCAACCAUAGUUCUAAUAUAUAACCAUGGCUCCAAUACAUCACCCAAACUAGUCCUAAUAUAUAACCAUGGCUCUAAUACAUUGCCCCAACCAUAGUCCUAAUAUAUAACUAUGGCUCCAAUACAUCACCCCAACCAUAGUCCUAAUAUAUAACCAUGGCUCCAAUACAUAACCCCAACCAUAGUCCUAAUAUAUAACCAUGGCUCCAAUACAUCACCCCAACCAUAGUCCUAAUAUAUAACCAUGGCUCCAAUACAUCACUGUAACCAUAGCCCUAAUAUAUAACCAUGGCUCCAAUACAUAACCCCAACCAUAGUCCUAAUAUAUAACCAUGGCUCCAAUACAUUGCCCCAACCAUAGUCCUAAUAUAUAACCAUGGCUCCAAUACAUAACCCCAAGCAUAGUCGUAAUAUAUAACCAUGGCUCCAAUACAUAACCCCAACCAUAGUCCUAAUAUAUAACCAUGGCUCCAAUACAUCACCCCAACCAUAGUCCU